Molecule: ribosomal RNA, 195 nt
Filed under: Triticum aestivum (bread wheat)
Lineage: Eukaryota; Viridiplantae; Streptophyta; Magnoliopsida; Poales; Poaceae
Description: partial small subunit ribosomal RNA
Source: RNAcentral
AUUCUAAAUGGAGAUUUCAGCAUAGUCACGCGUGAGGAUGAGCGCAGUACAGGGAGAGCUAACAGAAGGUUGAUGAAUAAGUUCAGACACACAAUCAACAAGCUGGGCCUGCAUGACAUGCCUCUGGUGGGUAGAAGGUUUACUUGGUGUAAUGGGCAGGAAAGAACCAUUAUGGCCAAAUUGGACAGAGUUUUG